GACGAACGCUGGCGGCGCGCUUAACACAUGCAAGUCGAACGGAAAGGCCUGCUUUCCCUUGUGGAUUGCGGGUACUCGAGUGGCGAACGGGUGAGUAACACGUGAGUGAUCUGCCCCCAACUUGGGUAUAAGCCUGGGAAACUGGGUCUAAUUCCCGAUAGGACUGCAGGGUGGUGCCUGUGGUGGAAAACGAUUUUCUAGUGGUUGGGGAUGAGCUCGCGGCCUAUCAGCUUGUUGGUGGGGUAAUGGCCUACCAAGGCGGCGACGGGUAGCCGGCCUGAGAGGGUGGACGGCCACAUUGGGACUGAGAUACGGCCCAGAAUCCUACGGGAGGCAGGAGUGGGGAAUAUUGCACAAUGGGCGGAAGCCUGAUGCAGCGACGCCGCGUGGGGGAUGACGGCCUUCGGGUUGUAAACUCCUUUCGACCGCGAGGAAGCCACCUGGUUGGAAGGGUGGUGACGGUAGUGGUAGAAGAAGCACCGGCUAACUACGUG
RNAcentral lists this ribosomal RNA (494 nucleotides) under uncultured bacterium. RNAcentral describes it as "partial 16S ribosomal RNA". It matches the Rfam family "Bacterial small subunit ribosomal RNA", at positions 28 to 507 of the family's 1533-position model. The record is from RNAcentral.